RNAcentral lists this unclassified non-coding RNA (387 nucleotides) under soil metagenome. RNAcentral describes it as "partial contains 5.8S ribosomal RNA, internal transcribed spacer 2, and large subunit ribosomal RNA". The stretch from base 1 to 120 matches the Rfam family "5.8S ribosomal RNA", at positions 35 to 154 of the family's 154-position model. The record is from RNAcentral.
GAUGAAGAACGCAGCGAAAUGCGAUAAGUAAUGUGAAUUGCAGAAUUCAGUGAAUCAUCGAAUCUUUGAACGCACCUUGCACCCUUUGGUAUUCCGAAGGGUAUGCUCGUUUGAGUGUCAUUGUACUCUCACACUUCUAAUUCCUUUCGGGAUUGGGAGCGGUGGACUUGGGUGUUGCUGCUUUAGUUGUGGCUCACCUCAAAUAAGUUAGUGCAACUCUUGGUUGGACAUAGUACGGCGUGAUAAGUGUCUUCGCCGGCGCCUCUGUAAGGAGGGUGGCCGAUCGGGAGCUCUGUGCUUCAAACCGUCUUCGGACAAUCUUUGACAACUUGACCUCAAAUCGAGUAGGACUACCCGCUGAACUUAAGCAUAUCAAUAAGCGGAGGA